GUCUUGUGAUUGGUCUAGAAGAGCUGCUGGCCCUCUAGAGAGACACCAGCACUGAUUGCAUAGGCCUGACUCAGCUUUUCCUCCUUCUCUGUCCGUGCUUUGCUGGCAAGCUUACUAACAUUGAGUGCAGCUAGGGGAGGAGGGGUUUCUGUUCGGUCAUUAAUUAUUUCCACUUCGGAAACAUACUGUAAGUUUAUGAGCAAGAUGUCUGCAUGGUUGGGCUUUCCAUUGGAAGAGGGACAUUUUAAAGCCAGCAUUUUGGAUUGGUGGUCAAAGGCUACCACCUCGCCCUGCAGCCGCUGCUCCUGGCACGCCCCGCUCCACACCUGGCUCCCAACGCUAUAUACUCGCCGGGAGGAGCCGCCAUCUUGGGAGUGCAGCCGCGGCCGCCCGGCGGCGGCGGCGGCGGCAGCAGCGGGCGAAAGCCGGGCCCCCAGUGAGCGCCGCGCCGCGCCGCCAUUUUGUGGAUUUUUAUCUCAGUUCCAUCACUUUGAACAGUUGGGAUCAACUCAACAAUAUUUAAAGUGGGCUUUGCAGAGCAUCUUGUGGACAAAGUACAAGGGGAAGGAGCCAGACCCUCCCCAUGGCCAUGCUUUCUCUGAAACAGCCCUGAUGACGUACUUUUUCAUGCUGAGGUCUGACACUGAUUCCACAGGAAGACACAGGAGGCUAUGCAGUUUGCAAAUCGACAUUAGUUGCACAAUUUCAAAAAAUGUCCUCCUGAGGCGAGCUACAAAAAGUUCUCAAGAUAGAGCUAUUCAAAGAACAACUACCUUAGACUGCAAAUCACAUAUAGAAGGAGGAAGUCUCAUCUGCCCAGAAUGUUUCCUGAAGCUCCAACCCCAGAAGUUGAGACUCUGCUGAUAUUACAGCAUGAAAAUCUUCAGUAACUGAUUCCAACUGUUGCAGCUGCAAAGAAUUGCUUUGCUAAGUAAACGCAUUUAUGGAUUUGGCCACAUUUUGUUGUUUGCUGCCUUCAAUUAUUACAAAUUCAUUCUGCUCUCUGUUUUCCAAGGUAAGAGUGGAUAGAACUGAUAUGGAAAUGGUUUUAGCAAUGUGUUAGAUUUUUUAAAAAUUAUCUGUAGCUCCUUUUAAAAAUAAAACAUUUCUUUUUCUCUCAGCAGUAAAAUAUUUUCAUUGAUGAAAAAUUUGGAAAC
Molecule: long non-coding RNA, 1157 nt
Filed under: Macaca mulatta (Rhesus monkey)
Lineage: Eukaryota; Metazoa; Chordata; Mammalia; Primates; Cercopithecidae
Description: lncRNA (ENSMMUG00000058957.1)
Source: RNAcentral